GUUUUUAUAGUGUAAUUCUCUAACACAUUACAUUUUCGUUGUAAAGCUGAAAACAUUCUUUCUAAAAACUC
Molecule: transfer RNA, 71 nt
Filed under: Ovalipes punctatus
Lineage: Eukaryota; Metazoa; Arthropoda; Malacostraca; Decapoda; Ovalipidae
Description: tRNA-Glu
Source: RNAcentral